This 130-nucleotide unclassified non-coding RNA is filed under the name Oryza sativa (Asian cultivated rice). Its description in RNAcentral is "precursor microRNA 160e2". Lineage: Eukaryota; Viridiplantae; Streptophyta; Magnoliopsida; Poales; Poaceae. The record is from RNAcentral.
GAUGAGGUAGGAGAUGGGAUUAACGCUGCCUGGCUCCCUGAAUGCCAUCCGAGAAGCGUGCCGCUGUGGCCGGCUGCUUCCUGGUUGGCAUUGAGGGAGUCAUGCAGGGUUUGCUCAUUUCCAUCUACGA